AUUGAACGUUGGCGGAAUGCUUUACACAUGCAAGUCGAACGGCAGCACGGACUUCGGUCUGGUGGCGAGUGGCGAACGGGUGAGUAAUGUAUCGGAACGUGCCCAGUCGUGGGGGAUAACGUAGUGAAAAUUACGCCAAUACCGCAUACGAUCUAUGGAUGAAAGCGGGGGAUCGCAAGACCUCGCGCGAUUGGAGCGGCCGAUAUCAGAUUAGGUAGUUGGUGGGGUAAAGGCCCACCAAGCCAGCGAUCUGUAGCUGGUCUGAGAGGACGACCAGCCACACUGGAACUGAGACACGGUCCAGACUCCUACGGGAGGCAGCAGUGGGGAAUUUUGGACAAUGGGCGAAAGCCUGAUCCAGCCAUUCCGCGUGCAGGAUGAAGGCCCUCGGGUUGUAAACUGCUUUUGUACAGAACGAAAAGGUUUCUACUAAUACUAGGAGCUCAUGACGGUACUGUAAGAAUAAGCACCGGCUAACUACGUGCCAGCAGCCGCCGCAG
Molecule: ribosomal RNA, 500 nt
Filed under: uncultured bacterium
Lineage: Bacteria
Description: partial 16S ribosomal RNA
Rfam family: Bacterial small subunit ribosomal RNA
Source: RNAcentral